Temnothorax curvispinosus is the source of this 531-nucleotide long non-coding RNA. RefSeq lists it as uncharacterized. NCBI's taxonomy places the organism in Eukaryota, Metazoa, Arthropoda, Insecta, Hymenoptera, Formicidae. The transcript is spliced from 2 exons. The record is from RefSeq and is a predicted model, not a curated record.
CCGUGACCUGCGAGCAAAAGUAAGCGCCGCGUUUUAUUCCGGUCACACGGGGCUCUCGGGUGUCAGAUGACCGGUCGUAUGACAGGUAAGCGCGCUGAAUGUGCAGAACGACACGGCCGCGGCGGGGUGCUCGACUGCUGACCGGCUACCGCAGAAGCGCGCGGCGUCUCGCGCGAUCGAGGAUGCAUCCUGACCUCCUGGCGAAGGGUAUCGCGCCGGCAGAGAACGAGGGACGAGGCGUGGAUUGAUCGUUACAUCGUUUUGCAAUUUUGCAUGCCCGGCCCCGGCCCCGGUCCUGUGCAGCGGGAACGGCUUACGGCCGACAGCGAGGGUUAUAUCGACGAUACGAAAGAUCGAUAGAGGUGGAUAAACAACUCGGCGAUACCGCGCGUUUCAAUCAAUUCGCGGAGCGGUUCGCCUCGCCGAAACGCGUUUACGAGACGUUUGUUUAUCGAGUCGAGACCAGAAUUGGACAUUAACAUAAAAUAAAAUGUAAUAAUCUACAUGCAAUAUAAAUUAACCUAUGGAUCA